This 417-nucleotide ribosomal RNA is filed under the name uncultured bacterium. RNAcentral's name for it is "bacterial SSU rRNA". It matches the Rfam family "Bacterial small subunit ribosomal RNA", at positions 338 to 752 of the family's 1533-position model. The record is from RNAcentral.
CCUACGGGAGGCAGCAGUGUGGAAUAUUGGUCAAUGGGUGGAAAUUUGACCCAGCCGGGUCGCGUGAAGGGGGACGGCCUUACGGGUCGUAAACUUCUUUUCCGGGGGAAUAACCUGGGUCACGGGUGACCAAAUGCCGGUACCCCAGGAGCAAGCCCCGGCUAACUCCGUGCCAGCAGCCGCGGUAAUACGUAGGGGGCGAGCGUUUUCCGGAUUUAUUGGGCGUAAAGGGUGCGUAGGCGGGUUUUUAAGUCAGUGGUGAAAGCCCGGGGCUCAACCCCGGCAGUGCAUUUGAAACUGGUUGUCUUGAGUGCGGGAGAGGAAACGGAAUUCCUGGUGUAGCGGUGAAAUGCGUAGAUAUCUAGGAGGAACACCAGUGGCGAAGGCAGCUUUCUAGUCCUGUAACUGACGCUCAGC